Long non-coding RNA from Salvia miltiorrhiza (redroot sage), 791 nucleotides. RefSeq lists it as uncharacterized. The transcript is spliced from 3 exons. The record is from RefSeq and is a predicted model, not a curated record. NCBI's taxonomy places the organism in Eukaryota, Viridiplantae, Streptophyta, Magnoliopsida, Lamiales, Lamiaceae.
UGACACCUAAGAAUCAUCUUAGACCCUUGAUUAUUGUUAAUUUAACGGAUGACAUUAAUAGAUUAUAGUUAUAAUUUAUAUUACCAUUUAAUUUAGAUUCUGCCGAUUUGUGUGAAUAAGGGCAGUUAGGGUAUUACAUUGAAGACAAAUAACCGAGUGCAAUUAAAGAUUUGUGCAUUUCCCUAAUUUACCACGUUGACUAAAUGGAAGAGAAAUCAAUUGAUGAGUGAAUAUAGCAUCUUUCCACCGCCAUUUUCACUUAUUACCUUCUGUCACUUUUGGGCUUCCAUUACCGAGUAAAACCAAGGUGAGUAAAAGCUUGUUCAUCUACGGUCAAGCAAGAGUUCAAGAGUUUCGGUCAUUCAAGUCCGAUGGAGUCUGCUGAACAUCACCACCAUCGAACAAGAGAAAGGUUCAUCAUCCAAGCAUAGACGCUACACAAGAAAAGAGAAGGGAAAUGGUAUAGCAAAAAUAGUCAAUGAACCCCCAAAGCUUGUUCAAAAUGUGGAAGGAAACGACAAGGUAACCAUUGGUAGAGGGAAACACAAACCAAUACCGAAGAAUCCAAAUGAUAUAAAAUGCAAACGCAUGGGGUGUAGGCCAGAGAAGCAGACAAUGUUGAUGGUGGCAAGUUUUCGAAGUUGAACACAAGAACUACUCUGGGGGCUCUGUACGAUAGCUUAGCUUUGAUUGUUGAAUAUGUGGAAAACAUACAUGAACAAAAAAUAUGUUCUUGAUUGGAAAAUGUAUGUUCAUAAUUUAAUAUGGUCAUGAAUAAAAGUUAAGGUCAA